This 365-nucleotide unclassified non-coding RNA is filed under the name soil metagenome. RNAcentral's name for it is "partial contains 5.8S ribosomal RNA, internal transcribed spacer 2, and large subunit ribosomal RNA". The stretch from base 1 to 120 matches the Rfam family "5.8S ribosomal RNA", at positions 35 to 154 of the family's 154-position model. The record is from RNAcentral.
GAUGAAGAACGUAGCGAAAUGCGAUAAGUAAUGUGAAUUGCAGAAUUCAGUGAAUCAUCGAAUCUUUGAACGCACAUUGCGCCCGCCAGCAUUCUGGCGGGCAUGCCUGUUCGAGCGUCAUUUCAACCCUCGCAGCCCAUCUGGGCAGCGGUGUUGGGGACCGGCACCACCGGCGAAGCCCUUAGGGGCCCAGCCGGCGCCGCCCCCGAAAUACAGUGGCGGUCUCGCUGCAGCCUCCCUUGCGUAGUAGCACAACUCGCACCGGAGCGCAGCGCGGCCACGCCGUAAAACCCCCGACUUUCUGAGUUUGACCUCGAAUCAGGUAGGAAUACCCGCUGAACUUAAGCAUAUCAAUAAGCGGAGGA